RNAcentral lists this ribosomal RNA (484 nucleotides) under uncultured bacterium. RNAcentral describes it as "partial 16S ribosomal RNA". It matches the Rfam family "Bacterial small subunit ribosomal RNA", at positions 29 to 507 of the family's 1533-position model. The record is from RNAcentral.
AUUGAACGCUGGCGGCAUGCUUUACACAUGCAAGUCGAACGGCAGCGCGGGCUUUGGCCUGGCGGCGAGUGGCGAACGGGUGAGUAAUACAUCGGAACGUGCCCAGUAGUGGGGGAUAGCUCGGCGAAAGCCGGAUUAAUACCGCAUACGACCUGAGGGUGAAAGCGGGGGAUCUUCGGACCUCGCGCUAUUGGAGCGGCCGAUGGCAGAUUAGCUAGUUGGUGGGGUAAAGGCCUACCAAGGCGACGAUCUGUAGCUGGUCUGAGAGGACGACCAGCCACACUGGGACUGAGACACGGCCCAGACUCCUACGGGAGGCAGCAGUGGGGAAUUUUGGACAAAGGGCGAAAGCCUGAUCCAGCAAUGCCGCGUGUGUGAUGAAGGCCUUCGGGUUGUAAAGCACUUUUGGCGGGAACGAAAAGGACUGUGCCAAUACCACGGUUCGAUGACGGUACCCGCAGAAUAAGCACCGGCUAACUACGUG